GAUGAACGCUGGCGGCGUGCCUAAUACAUGCAAGUCGAGCGAGCGGACGAGAAGCUUGCUUCUCUGAUGUUAGCGGCGGACGGGUGAGUAACACGUGGAUAACCUACCUAUAAGACUGGGAUAACUUCGGGAAACCGGAGCUAAUACCGGAUAAUAUUUUGAACCGCAUGGUUCAAAAGUGAAAGACGGUCUUGCUGUCACUUAUAGAUGGAUCCGCGCUGCAUUAGCUAGUUGGUAAGGUAACGGCUUACCAAGGCAACGAUGCAUAGCCGACCUGAGAGGGUGAUCGGCCACACUGGAACUGAGACACGGUCCAGACUCCUACGGGAGGCAGCAGUAGGGAAUCUUCCGCAAUGGGCGAAAGCCUGACGGAGCAACGCCGCGUGAGUGAUGAAGGUCUUCGGAUCGUAAAACUCUGUUACUAGGGAAGAACAUAUGUGUAAGUAACUGUGCACAUCUUGACGGUACCUAAUCAGAAAGCCACGGCUAACUACGUG
This 497-nucleotide ribosomal RNA is filed under the name uncultured bacterium. Its description in RNAcentral is "partial 16S ribosomal RNA". It matches the Rfam family "Bacterial small subunit ribosomal RNA", at positions 28 to 507 of the family's 1533-position model. The record is from RNAcentral.